AUACGUAGGGGCCAAACGUUGUCCGGAUUUACUGGGCGUAAAGGGCGCGUAGGCGGAUUAGCAAGUCAGGCGUGAAAGCCCAGGGCUCAACCUCGGAACUGCCCUCAAAACUGGAUGACUAGAGUCCGGGAGAGGUUGGCGGAAUUCCUAGUGUAGAGGUGAAAUUCGUAGAUAUUAGGAAGAACACCAGUGGCGAAGGCGGCCACCUGGACGAUGACUGACGCUCAGACCCGAACGCGUGGGGAGCAAACAGGAUUAGAAACCCGGGUAGUCC
RNAcentral lists this ribosomal RNA (274 nucleotides) under uncultured bacterium. Its description in RNAcentral is "partial 16S ribosomal RNA". It matches the Rfam family "Bacterial small subunit ribosomal RNA", at positions 523 to 796 of the family's 1533-position model. The record is from RNAcentral.